This is a small nuclear RNA of Ailuropoda melanoleuca (giant panda), 164 nucleotides long. Its record names the gene U1. It matches the Rfam family "U1 spliceosomal RNA". From Rfam's summary of the family: U1 is a small nuclear RNA (snRNA) component of the spliceosome (involved in pre-mRNA splicing). Lineage: Eukaryota; Metazoa; Chordata; Mammalia; Carnivora; Ursidae. The record is from Ensembl.
ACACUUAUGUAGCAGUGGAGGUGCUAUGACUGUGUAGGUGGUCUUUUUCAUGGCAAGGCUUUUUUGUGUCACUCUGGAUGCGCUGGCUUUUGCGAUUUUCCUGAAUGGGGGAAACUCGAUUGCGUAAUUUGUGGUAGUGGGCAUUUGUGCUGCGCUCCCUCCUG